This 497-nucleotide ribosomal RNA is filed under the name uncultured bacterium. Its description in RNAcentral is "partial 16S ribosomal RNA". It matches the Rfam family "Bacterial small subunit ribosomal RNA", at positions 28 to 507 of the family's 1533-position model. The record is from RNAcentral.
GAUGAACGCUGGCGGCGUGCCUAAUACAUGCAAGUCGAGCGAACAGACGAGGAGCUUGCUCCUCUGACGUUAGCGGCGGACGGGUGAGUAACACGUGGAUAACCUACCUAUAAGACUGGGAUAACUUCGGUAACCCGGAGCUAAUACCGGAUAAUAUAUUUAACCGCAUGGUUCAAUAGUGAAAGACGGUUUUGCUGUCACUUAUAGAUGGAUCCGCGCCGCAUUAGCUAGUUGGUAAGGUAACGGCUUACCAAGGCUACGAUGCGUAGCCGACCUGAGAGAGUGAUCGGCCACACUAGAACUGAGACACGGUCCAUACUCCUACGGGAGGCAGCAGUAGGGAAUCUUCCGCAAUGGGCGGAAGCCUGACGGAGCAACGCCGCGUGAGUGAUGAAGUUCUUCGGAUCGUAAAACUCUGUUAUUAGGGAAGAACAACUGUGUAAGUAACUAUGCCCGUCUUGACGGUACCUAAUCAGAAAGCCACGGCUAACUACGUG